This 253-nucleotide ribosomal RNA is filed under the name uncultured bacterium. Its description in RNAcentral is "partial 16S ribosomal RNA". It matches the Rfam family "Bacterial small subunit ribosomal RNA", at positions 524 to 776 of the family's 1533-position model. The record is from RNAcentral.
UACGGGGGGGGCAAGCGUUGUUCGGAAUUACUGGGCGUAAAGGGCUCGUAGGCGGCCAACUAAGUCAGACGUGAAAUCCCUCGGCUUAACCGGGGAACUGCAUCUGAUACUGGAUGGCUUGAGAUUGGGAGAGGGAUGCGGAAUUCCAGGUGUAGCGGUGAAAUGCGUAGAUAUCAGGAGGAAUACCGGUGGCGAAAGCGACUCUCUGGACGGCAACUGACGCUGAGGCACGAAAGCGUGGGGAGCAAACAGG